CUUCAGUUGAUACCAGACUUGUCAGAACCAGACAUGUUACGGGCAUAUGGGAAGCUGAUUCUUAAUGAGCGUUUGUUUGAAGCUCUAAUGGAGCUGCCCAUGGAAAUGAGGAAGUCAUGGCUGUUAGUGUUGCCUUAA
This 138-nucleotide ribosomal RNA is filed under the name Triticum aestivum (bread wheat). RNAcentral describes it as "partial small subunit ribosomal RNA". Lineage: Eukaryota; Viridiplantae; Streptophyta; Magnoliopsida; Poales; Poaceae. The record is from RNAcentral.